This 1187-nucleotide ribosomal RNA is filed under the name metagenome. RNAcentral's name for it is "bacterial SSU rRNA". It matches the Rfam family "Bacterial small subunit ribosomal RNA", at positions 326 to 1520 of the family's 1533-position model. The record is from RNAcentral.
ACGGCCCAGACUCCUACGGGAGGCAGCAGUGGGGAAUAUUGCACAAUGGGCGCAAGCCUGAUGCAGCGACGCCGCGUGAGGGAUGACGGCCUUCGGGUUGUAAACCUCUGUUAGCAGGGAAGAAGAGAGAUUGACGGUACCUGCAGAGAAAGCGCCGGCUAACUACGUGCCAGCAGCCGCGGUAAUACGUAGGGCGCGAGCGUUGUCCGGAAUUAUUGGGCGUAAAGAGCUUGUAGGCGGUUUGUCGCGUCUGCUGUGAAAGGCCGGGGCUUAACCCCGUGUAUUGCAGUGGGUACGGGCAGACUAGAGUGCAGUAGGGGAGACUGGAAUUCCUGGUGUAGCGGUGGAAUGCGCAGAUAUCAGGAGGAACACCGAUGGCGAAGGCAGGUCUCUGGGCUGUAACUGACGCUGAGAAGCGAAAGCAUGGGGAGCGAACAGGAUUAGAUACCCUGGUAGUCCAUGCCGUAAACGUUGGGCACUAGGUGUGGGGGACAUUCCACGUUUUCCGCGCCGUAGCUAACGCAUUAAGUGCCCCGCCUGGGGAGUACGGCCGCAAGGCUAAAACUCAAAGAAAUUGACGGGGGCCCGCACAAGCGGCGGAGCAUGCGGAUUAAUUCGAUGCAACGCGAAGAACCUUACCAAGGCUUGACAUAUACUGGACCGCAUCAGAGAUGGUGUUUCCCUUCGGGGCUGGUAUACAGGUGGUGCAUGGUUGUCGUCAGCUCGUGUCGUGAGAUGUUGGGUUAAGUCCCGCAACGAGCGCAACCCUCGUUCUAUGUUGCCAGCACGUUAUGGUGGGGACUCAUAGGAGACUGCCGGGGUCAACUCGGAGGAAGGUGGGGAUGACGUCAAAUCAUCAUGCCCCUUAUGUCUUGGGCUUCACGCAUGCUACAAUGGCCGGUACAGAGGGUUGCGAUACUGUGAGGUGGAGCUAAUCCCUAAAAGCCGGUCUCAGUUCGGAUUGGGGUCUGCAACUCGACCCCAUGAAGUCGGAGUCGCUAGUAAUCGCAGAUCAGCAACGCUGCGGUGAAUACGUUCCCGGGCCUUGUACACACCGCCCGUCAAGUCACGAAAGUUGGUAACACCCAAAGCCGGUGGCCUAACCCUUUUGGGAGGGAGCCGUCUAAGGUGGGAUUGGCGAUUGGGACUAAGUCGUAACAAGGUAGCCGUACCGGAAGGUGCGGCUG